GCUCAUCUGUUGUGGUGAUAUCAUGCAAGAUUCCCAUUCUUGCAACCCGGGUUUGAUUCCCGGGCGGUGCA
Non-coding RNA from Potamilus streckersoni, 71 nucleotides. The record is from the annotation of a GenBank genome assembly. NCBI's taxonomy places the organism in Eukaryota, Metazoa, Mollusca, Bivalvia, Unionida, Unionidae.